AGAAUUAUGUUGUCCUUAUUUGUUCUUUAAAAAAUAGUAUUUAAUGUUUUUUGUUAUUUUAAGAAAAUUUUAGGUAAAAAUUAUAAGAAAUAGAUAGAAUAGUAACGGAACACUAACGAAGGGGGGCUAAAUGUAUCAAUUUAAAAUUUUGAGAGGGUAAAAUAUAGGUUUUUAAAAGUUAAGGAAUAAAAGUGAAAAAGUAGUAUUUACAGAAGAAUUUUCUAUAUUUUAGCCUUAAAUAUUAAAACAAAAGAGAGUGAUAUGACUGGUGAGAAAUUAUAAAGUUUUUCUUUCAACUUGCCUAUCUAAGGUUCAAAGUUUUUCUCACUAGUCAUAAUUUUUUUUAAUAUUAAAAUCUUAAAAAAAUGGCCAAUUUCAUAAAAAAUCCACUAGUUUCGCGCUUUUGCAAAAGUUGGCCAUUGUUUUUUCUCUUAAACUACACCCUUUAAGAGGAGAAACAGUAUAACAAGAAGAAAAAUAGUGCAACAAGAGGAAAAACAGUGCAACAAGAAGAGAAACAGUAUAAAUAUCUCUUAAAGAGAUACAGUUUACAUCUCAAAGGAUGUAAGAAGAGGAAAACAGUGUAAAUAUCUCUCAAAAAGUGCAACUUUCAUUUAAAGAGUGUAAUUUUUAUCUUAAUGGAUGCAGUUUAUAUCUAAAAGAGUGCAAUAAGAAAAAAAAUAGUGUAAAUAUCUCUCAAAGAGUGCAAUUUUCGUUUAAAGAGUGU
RNAcentral lists this long non-coding RNA (727 nucleotides) under Ananas comosus (pineapple). RNAcentral's name for it is "long non-coding RNA (ACOM_LNC036813)". The record is from RNAcentral. Lineage: Eukaryota; Viridiplantae; Streptophyta; Magnoliopsida; Poales; Bromeliaceae.